GUGCCAGCAGCCGCGGUAAUACGUAGGUGGCAAGCGUUGUCCGGAUUUAUUGGGUUUAAAGGGUGCGUAGGCGGUCUUUUAAGUCAGUGCUGAAAUAUCCCGGCUUAACCGGGAGGGUGGCAUUGAUACUGAAGGACUUGAGUUCAGUCGAGGUAGGCGGAAUUGACGGUGUAGCGGUGAAAUGCUUAGAUAUCGUCAAGAACACCGAUAGUGUAGACAGCUUACUAGGCUGAAACUGACGCUGAGGCACGAAAGUGUGGGGAUCAAACAGGAUUAGAUACCCUGGUAGUCC
This 292-nucleotide ribosomal RNA is filed under the name uncultured bacterium. Its description in RNAcentral is "partial 16S ribosomal RNA". It matches the Rfam family "Bacterial small subunit ribosomal RNA", at positions 505 to 796 of the family's 1533-position model. The record is from RNAcentral.